Molecule: long non-coding RNA, 162 nt
Organism: Etheostoma cragini (Arkansas darter)
Lineage: Eukaryota; Metazoa; Chordata; Actinopteri; Perciformes; Percidae
Exons: 2
Source: RefSeq, a predicted model, not a curated record
AGAAUACAGUAAACCAGCACUUUACUUGUUUAGUGGUACUAAAUGUACAGUGUAGGUUUUAGUUUGUCUCUGAAUAAAUGCUGCAGAAAGAAAGUUCUCGUGUCUUGCUUCUCAAAAUCGCAACAAAACACACAGAGCGUGUGGGAGAGCAGCGGUCACUUG